AUGGGAUAUUUUUUCCUUGUAAUUUUCGCUGUAGCAGCUUUGGAAGGUGUCCGGUCCCAGGUGCAGCUGGUGGAGUCUGGAGGGGAUGUGAAAAAGCCCGGAGACUCUCUCCGCCUCUCCUGCAAAGCCUCUGGGUUUGACUUCAGCAGCAGCAGCUACGGCAUGAACUGGGUUCGACAGGCUCCUGGGAAGGGACUGGAAUGGGUCGCUUAUAUAAGCAGCAGUGGGGGUACAAUAUACUACCUUGAUUCAGUGAAAGGCCGAUUCACCAUCUCCCGGGAUAAUUCCAAGAGUGAGCUGUAUCUGCAAAUGACCGGCCUGAAGCCCGAGGACACCGCCCGCUAUUACUGUGCGAGAGACACAGUGAAACCAAACUG
Chrysemys picta bellii (western painted turtle) is the source of this 377-nucleotide non-coding RNA. Lineage: Eukaryota; Metazoa; Chordata; Testudines; Emydidae. The record is from the annotation of a RefSeq genome assembly.